RNAcentral lists this ribosomal RNA (253 nucleotides) under uncultured bacterium. RNAcentral describes it as "partial 16S ribosomal RNA". It matches the Rfam family "Bacterial small subunit ribosomal RNA", at positions 524 to 776 of the family's 1533-position model. The record is from RNAcentral.
UACGUAGGGGGCAAGCGUUGUCCGGAAUCAUUGGGCGUAAAGAGCGUGUAGGCGGCCCGAUAAGUCCGCCGUGAAAGUCCAGGGCUCAACCCUGGAAUGCCGGUGGAAACUGUCGGGCUGGAGUCCGGAAGAGGCGAGUGGAAUUCCUGGUGUAGCGGUGAAAUGCGCAGAUAUCAGGAAGAACACCAAUGGCGAAGGCAGCUCGCCGGGACGGUACUGACGCUGAGACGCGAAAGCGUGGGGAGCAAACAGG